Molecule: unclassified non-coding RNA, 1319 nt
Filed under: Yarrowia lipolytica
Lineage: Eukaryota; Fungi; Ascomycota; Dipodascomycetes; Dipodascales
Source: RNAcentral
UCACUCUGAGUCGUUCUGGAGACGGAAGGUGCCUUUUAUAGCCUGCUGCGAUGCAGAGCUGAUAAGCAGACCUGUCUCGUAAGACAGCUAACAUGGAUCUGUCUACAACGAGGACGUUUUCAUUUUUUUGUCGUCCGUUUGAGUUGUUUGGGGCAAUGUGGUGAGAUUCCAGAACCCCAGUGUCGGUUAAGAAGGCAAUGACGCGUUUAUCGCAUGAGCCUAGUGCGAGAGCUUCUGUUUGGGCGAUUGAGCUGAGAAACCGGCGAGUUCAAUCCAGAAGCGAGUACAACCGCCUGAGCCAAGUGUCUUAAGUCCGUAACCUUUUGUGUCCGGUUGACCGCCAUGAGCUGAAAAAGUGCCAUGAGCAAAGAGGGAGUGAUUGUGCCGGCUGAAAAAUGUCAGAGCCACCUCCGUGCCUUGUGAGAGUUCCCGAGGACCACAUGUGCAGCCGCCAGAGCAAAGAGCCAGAGCCACUGAGCGCGAGCCACCGACAGUGAGAUACUCAAGGGUGAAAUUCCUUUUGAUAGACUCCCAUCUGUGAGAGAGCCGCCUAGAACUGAAGAGCCAAGCUGAAAUGCCAGAGCUGCCAGUCGCUGAGGAGCCAGCUGAGACGCUGAGCUGAGACGCAUUACUAGAGCAAAGAUCUGCUUUGACAGACGCCAUAUAUGGUCAAAAGAGCAACAGAUGCCUGAGUCAGAGCCAAUAAGACCCACAGGGGCAAUGAGUGCCAACCAGAGCCACACAAGAGCCAGAGCUGUCACGUUGGUCACCAGAGCUGAAAUGCCAGAGUCGAAGCGUAGCCAGAGCCGCCGAAGAGCAUAGCCACUAAGUCCAACGAGCAAUAAGAGCAUUUACCAGAGCCAGUAAGUCCGGAGAGCAAUAAGUGCCAAGGCCAGAGCCACGGCUAUUGAGCCAGAGCCAUUACCAUUGCGAGCAAAGAGCCAGUAAGUCCUACAAGGCAAUAAGUGCCAAACGCCGAAUGAGAGCGAACACCAAAGCCAGUGAGUCCUGAACGGCAAUAAGAGCCUUUCGCCUGAGCAAGAGCCAGUGAGUCCACAGAUGCAAUGAGCGCCAAACGCCAGAGCACAGACAGAGCCGGAAGAGCCAGGGCCAUAGAGCUGAGGCCAGCCAGUUGCCAAUAAGUCCAAAGAGCAGUGAGAGCCAGAGCACGAGCCAAAGUCAUACACUAUUCAAGGAGUAGGCGGAGAACCUCUUAGCCUGAGGACGUAACCGACCGAACCUGUUUAUCUAGUUUGAGAGGAGUAGGUGAAAAUCCGAACCUCUUGGGUAAUAAAUCAUGGACCAAAGAGUCCCACCCG